Molecule: ribosomal RNA, 424 nt
Filed under: uncultured bacterium
Lineage: Bacteria
Description: partial 16S ribosomal RNA
Rfam family: Bacterial small subunit ribosomal RNA
Source: RNAcentral
AAUAUUGGACAAUGGGGGGAACCCUGAUCCAGCCAUGCCGCGUGUGUGAAGAGGGUCUUCGGAUUGUAAAGCACUCUAAGUUGGGAGGAAGAGUUGUAGGCUAAUACCUUGCAAUUUUGACGUUACCAACAGAAUAAGCACCGUCUAACUUCGUGCCAGCAGCCGCGGUAAUACGAAGGGUGCAAGCGUUAAUCGGAAUUACUGGGCGUAAAGCGGGGGUAUGCGGUUCGUUAAGUUGGAAGUGAAAGCCCCGGGCUUAACCUGGGAAUUGCUUUCAAAACUGACGAGCUAGAGUACGGUAGAGGGUAGUGGAAUUUCCUGUGUAGCGGUGAAAUGCGUAGGUAUAGGAAGGAACAUCAGUGGCGAAGGCGACUACCUGGACUGAUACUGACACUGAGGUGGGAAAGCGUGGGGGGCAAACAGG